UACGUAGGGGGCAAGCGUUAUCCGGAUUUACUGGGUGUAAAGGGGGCGCAGACGGCGAUGCAAGCCAGGAGUGAAAGCCCGGGGCCCAACCCCGGGACUGCUCUUGGAACUGCGUGGCUGGAGUGCAGGAGGGGCAGGCGGAAUUCCUGGUGUAGCGGUGAAAUGCGUAGAUAUCAGGAGGAACACCGGUGGCGAAGGCGGCCUGCUGGACUGCAACUGACGUUGAGGCCCGAGAGCGUGGGGAGCAAACAGG
Molecule: ribosomal RNA, 253 nt
Filed under: uncultured bacterium
Lineage: Bacteria
Description: partial 16S ribosomal RNA
Rfam family: Bacterial small subunit ribosomal RNA
Source: RNAcentral